GUAGGGAAUAUUGCGCAAUGGGGGAAACCCUGACGCAGCGACGCCGCGUGAGUGAUGAAGGCCUUCGGGUCGUAAAGCUCUGUUGCAGGGGAAUAAAAAAAUGAAGGUACCCUGUGAGGAAGGAUCGGCUAACUUCGUGCCAGCAGCCGCGGUAAGACGAGGGAUCCUAGCGUUGCUCGGAAUCAUUGGGCGUAAAGAGGGCGUAGGUGGCUUGGUAAGUCAGGUGUGAAAGCCCAGGGCUCAAACCUGGAAGUGCAUUUGAUACUGCUGAGCUUGAGUGUCGGAGAGGUUACCGGAAUACCUGGUGUAGUGGUGAAAUACGUAGAUAUCAGGUGGAACACCGGAGGCGAAGGCGGGUAACUGGACGAACACUGACACUGAGGCCCGAAAGCGUGGGGAUCAAACAGGAUUAGAUACCCUUGUAGUCC
Molecule: ribosomal RNA, 428 nt
Filed under: uncultured bacterium
Lineage: Bacteria
Description: partial 16S ribosomal RNA
Rfam family: Bacterial small subunit ribosomal RNA
Source: RNAcentral